Molecule: small nuclear RNA, 97 nt
Organism: Mesocricetus auratus (golden hamster)
Lineage: Eukaryota; Metazoa; Chordata; Mammalia; Rodentia; Cricetidae
Source: Ensembl
GUGCUUGCUUCGGCUGCACAUAUACUAAAUUUUGAACAAUACAGAGAUUAGCAUGGCUCCUAUGUAAGGAUGACACAGAAAUUUAUUCCAUAUUUUU